RNAcentral lists this ribosomal RNA (437 nucleotides) under uncultured Anaerolineaceae bacterium. RNAcentral describes it as "bacterial SSU rRNA". It matches the Rfam family "Bacterial small subunit ribosomal RNA", at positions 929 to 1378 of the family's 1533-position model. The record is from RNAcentral. Lineage: Bacteria; Bacillati; Chloroflexota; Anaerolineae; Anaerolineales; Anaerolineaceae.
GCAGCGGAGCGUGUGGUUAAUUCGAUGUUACACGAAGAACCUUACCUGGGUUUGACAUAUAGGUUGUAGGGAACUGAAAAGGGACCGACCCUUCGGGAGCCUAUACAGGUGUUGCAUGGCUGUCGUCAGCUCGUGUCGUGAGAUGUUCGGUUAAGUCCGCUAACGAGCGCAACCCUCGUCGUAUGUUAUAUGUGUCAUACGAGACUGCCGGUAAAAGCCGGAGGAAGGUGAGGAUGAUGUCAAGUCAGCAUGGCCUUUAUAUCCUGGGCUACACACACGCUACAAUGGCCAACACAAUAGGUUGCUAAGCCGCGAGGUGGCGCCAAUCCAUAAAGUUGGUCUCAGUUCAGAUUGUAGGCUGCAACCCGCCUGCAUGAAGAUGGAGUUGCUAGUAACCGCAGGUCAGCUAUACUGCGUUGAAUACGUUCCCGGGGAUU